GAAAAAAUAAUUACAUUGAUCUCUUUAAUGAAAUCACAAUGAAAAUUAAAAAUAAACUUUUCAGAAUCCGUCAAGUAGAAAAAACAAUACAAAGCGGCUGGAUCCUAAGUUUGAAAGACAAUAAGUAAUCGUUUGAAUAAUUAUUACCAUUAAAUGUAAUACACUUCAUUAUAUACCAGACAAUAUGCUAAGGCAUUUAUGUGUGUAUCUAUUUUAAUCUUCUAAGAUCUCUAUUGCUGGUGAGGAGGCAGCUUAGAGACGUCUGAACUGAACAGCCACCGAGAGGCUGCUUGGAACAUCUGUCUGGAGACUGUAAUUAGUUGUUUCCCAAGAGUUUGGAUUAAUGUUUUUAAAACCAUUUAUUUUCUGAAUUCUUUCAAUGGUCAAGCUCUAAGCUCAGAUCAAUCUAUUAACGAAUGAUAAAUCUAACCUGUUUAACAUGUGAGUCAGUGGGAUCAGAGUUUGACUUGUGAAUGACACUACUUAUUGUCUGUACAUGUAAGCCUGUGGGGCAUUCCCAUUUCAGUUAUACUAAAUUUUUAUUUUUUUAAGAAGUUCAAUCUAAAACAGAAACACUGUAAGUAGGUUAGAAAAAUACCUAGAUUAGGCCAUAUUUGUAAAUAUCUAAGAAAAAUAAUAUCUAAAUAAUUUCAAAUAGUUCUUCGUGUAAUACAGGAAGCUUUCUUUAAUCAAAACCACGUAUAUUAUAUAGAGCAUACAGCCCAUAUUGUUCAGUGCAGUCACACAUUAUCAGCUGAAAGACAGUUAAUGUAUAUGCAGUUUUAUUGGACAAUGAGACAGCUGCAUUGCCUUAUCAUCAAAACAAUGGAAAAGAACUUCACUCAGAAUCAUAAACACAAAGCACAGCUUAGCACAAUUUAGAAUUGCAGAAUAACACACGUUUCAGAACAGAUCUGAGUAAACCUUCCGUUUUUGUUACUGUCAAUCUUCUGACAAGAACAGCUUGUCAGUUUUGUUUGAAAAAGUAGAAGUACUUUCAAAUGAAAGUUUCUGACAAAGCUGGCUUUAAAAUCAUUUUUUGAAUCUUGCUGUUUGACCAUUAAUCCUAUAUGUGAUUAUAUAUUGUGUAUACAUGCUUAUAUGCAACAAAUCACAUAUGUAUAGUAAAUUUACUGACAAUUUCUAUUUCUAGUUUUAACAAACCUUAGCU
Molecule: long non-coding RNA, 1171 nt
Filed under: Equus caballus (horse)
Lineage: Eukaryota; Metazoa; Chordata; Mammalia; Perissodactyla; Equidae
Description: lncRNA (ENSECAG00000052455.1)
Source: RNAcentral